AAGUCGUAACAAGGUUUCCGUAGGUGAACCUGCGGAAGGAUCAUUACAGAAUAAACCUGGUGGGUUGUUGCUGGCUCUCAAUUGGGCAUUGUGCAUACCUGUCAUCUUUAUCUUUCCACCGUGUGCACUCUCUGUAGAACUGGAAUAAACAAUAAAGCCUAGUCACUUGUUGACUACUGGAAUGUUGCUGAUUCUUCAGCUCAUUCUGUAUCUGGCUGUUUAUUCUAGGCUCUACGAUAUCUCUAUAUACACCAUGUAUGUUAAUGAACGCAAUCAAUGGGCCCAUGAAGCCUAUAAACCUAUAAUACAACUUUCAGCAACGGAUCUCUUGGCUCUC
RNAcentral lists this unclassified non-coding RNA (337 nucleotides) under Conocybe anthracophila. RNAcentral describes it as "partial internal transcribed spacer region". The stretch from base 1 to 46 matches the Rfam family "Eukaryotic small subunit ribosomal RNA", at positions 1786 to 1831 of the family's 1831-position model. Lineage: Eukaryota; Fungi; Basidiomycota; Agaricomycetes; Agaricales; Bolbitiaceae. The record is from RNAcentral.